This 869-nucleotide ribosomal RNA is filed under the name Pseudoophiobolus rosae. Its description in RNAcentral is "partial large subunit ribosomal RNA". It matches the Rfam family "Eukaryotic large subunit ribosomal RNA", at positions 49 to 936 of the family's 3401-position model. The record is from RNAcentral. Lineage: Eukaryota; Fungi; Ascomycota; Dothideomycetes; Pleosporales; Phaeosphaeriaceae.
AGCGGAGGAAAAGAAACCAACAGGGAUUGCCCUAGUAACGGCGAGUGAAGCGGCAACAGCUCAAAUUUGAAAUCUGGCUCUUUUAGAGUCCGAGUUGUAAUUUGCAGAGGGCGCUUUGGCGUUGGCAGCGGUCCAAGUUCUUUGGAACAGGACGUCACAGAGGGUGAGAAUCCCGUACGUGGUCGCUAUCCUUCGCCGUGUAAAGCCCCUUCGACGAGUCGAGUUGUUUGGGAAUGCAGCUCUAAAUGGGAGGUAAAUUUCUUCUAAAGCUAAAUACUGGCCAGAGACCGAUAGCGCACAAGUAGAGUGAUCGAAAGAUGAAAAGCACUUUGGAAAGAGAGUCAAAUAGCACGUGAAAUUGUUGAAAGGGAAGCGCUUGCAGCCAGACUUGCCUGUAGUUGCUUAUCCGGACUUUUGUCCGGUGCACUCUUCUAUAGGCAGGCCAGCAUCAGUUUAGGCGGUUAGAUAAAGGUCUCUGUCACGUACCUCUCUUCGGGGAGGCCUUAUAGGGGAGACGACAUGUAACCAGCUUAGACUGAGGUCCGCGCAUUUUGCUAGGAUGCUGGCGUAAUGGCUGUAAGCGGCCCGUCUUGAAACACGGACCAAGGAGUCUAACAUCUAUGCGAGUGUUUGGGUGUCAAGCCCAGACGCGUAAUGAAAGUGAACGGAGGUAGGAACCCUUUGGGUGCACUAUCGACCGAUCCUGAUGUCUUCGGAAGGAUUUGAGUAAGAGCAUGGCUGUUGGGACCCGAAAGAUGGUGAACUAUGCUUGAAUAGGGUGAAGCCAGAGGAAACUCUGGUGGAGGCUCGCAGCGGUUCUGACGUGCAAAUCGAUCGUCAAAUUUGGGCAUAGGGGCGAAAGACUAAUC